RNAcentral lists this long non-coding RNA (455 nucleotides) under Physcomitrium patens. RNAcentral describes it as "long non-coding RNA (PPAT_LNC008682)". Lineage: Eukaryota; Viridiplantae; Streptophyta; Bryopsida; Funariales; Funariaceae. The record is from RNAcentral.
AAACAAUAAGAAAUCUUAAAAAAGUUGAAAGAUAAUCCAUAAUAAAUCUUAAGAGAAUCCUUAAGAAGCUCUAAAAAAUAUUAAAAUAAUCAUAGUAUAUCUUAAAUAAAUCUCAAUGAAGUUCUAAUUUAAUUGUAGUUGAAAUUCUAAUGGACGUCAAUCAAAUCCUAAACAAAUCCUAAAUUCUAAAUCUAACCCAAGGUAAAUCCUAAAUUUUAAAUCAAAUCCGAACUAAAUUCUAAUUAAAUUCUAAAUCUUAAACUGAAUCCUAAUAAAAUCCUAAAUCCUAAAGUAAAUCCUAAUCAAAUCCUUUUCCCUAAAUCAAAUCCUAGACAAAUCAUAAAUCCUAAACCAAAUCCUAAUCAAAUUCUAAGCUCUAAAUCAAAUCCUAAGGUAGUUUAUAACAUCAAUAUCUUUUGAUUGAACCAUUGAUCUUGUUUUAAAUUUUACACACC